AUUGAACGCUGGCGGCAUGCCUUACACAUGCAAGUCGAACGGCAGCACGGGUGCUUGCACCUGGUGGCGAGUGGCGAACGGGUGAGUAAUACAUCGGAACAUGUCCUGUAGUGGGGGAUAGCCCGGCGAAAGCCGGAUUAAUACCGCAUACGAUCCACGGAUGAAAGCGGGGGACCUUCGGGCCUCGCGCUAUAGGGUUGGCCGAUGGCUGAUUAGCUAGUUGGUGGGGUAAAGGCCUACCAAGGCGACGAUCAGUAGCUGGUCUGAGAGGACGACCAGCCACACUGGGACUGAGACACGGCCCAGACUCCUACGGGAGGCAGCAGUGGGGAAUUUUGGACAGUGGGCGAAAGCCUGAUCCAGCAAUGCCGCGUGUGUGAAGAAGGCCUUCGGGCUGUAAAGCACUUUUGUCCGGAAAGAAAUCCUUGACUCUAAUACAGUCGGGGGAUGACGGUACCGGAAGAAUAAGCACCGGCUAACUACGUG
Molecule: ribosomal RNA, 486 nt
Filed under: uncultured bacterium
Lineage: Bacteria
Description: partial 16S ribosomal RNA
Rfam family: Bacterial small subunit ribosomal RNA
Source: RNAcentral